ACACAAAUGUGCAACACUUGCCACGACAUAUGGCUUGCUGGCUGCUCUCAGUCUUGGCUGGUACUUCCAGAUCCCAGUAACAGGCAAACAGCAAGCAGUAACAAACUGAGAAAUGACCCCUGCUCCAGUGAUCUCUUUGCACUCCGUCAGCAAAGAAAACAAACAUGUCAAGGACCUAAGACUUAAGAAACACUUACCAUCUGGCAACGUGAAAGCAAGAAGGAAGCAAAAAAAAAAAAAAAAAAAAAAGUAGUUGCACUCAGCCUGACAAAAGCUGCCUAACAAGGACUGUUUUCAGUGAGAUGAGAACUGUAAGCACGCAUUCUACGCCGGCUUCAUAAGCGUGAGGAACACACAGAUUUAUUUCUCUUAGGCAGCCCUCAUGGCACCCAGGGUCCUGAAGAGAGCAAUGAGGUCUCCCCUCAGCUUUGUCUUCUCCAGACUGGACAGCUGAAGCCCAACCUUAAGACAGGACAUGUCUUCUAACCCUGUUACUGCCUCUGCUGUCCUCCCCCGGAUACUUUCAAGGACCUUAACAACCUUUUAUAUUGUGGAUACCAGAAAUACAUGAAAUAUUCAAGGUGAGGUCACGCCAACACGAAAUAUAAUGGGACAAUCACCUCUAUUGACCAGCUGUCUGUGCAGUGUUUAAUGCACUCCAGAAUACGGUUUGCCUUUUUGGCUGCCAGGGAACACUGCUGGCUCAUGUUGAGCAUGCUGUCACCAGCACACCCAGCCCGUUUCUGCACAGCUACACUCCAGCCACUCAUCUUUCAAUCUGUACCUGUGUCUAGCAUUACUCUGUGCCAGGUGCAGCACCUGGCUCUUUCUUCUGUUGAAUUCCAUGCUGUUCAUGAUUUCCCAGUUCUCCAGUGUACAAAGACAGCCUCUGCAAAGCCUCUCAUUCAAAGAGUCAGCAGCACCUCCCAGUUUAGUAUCAUUGGCAACCUUACUUAGCAUGCAUUGAACUCCCAAUCACUGAUAAAAGUGUUGAAAAGAACCAGCCUUAAAACUGAGCCCUAGAGAACACUGCUAGUGACUGCCCAUAAGCCAGAUGUAGCUUCACAGAAUCACAGAAUCACAGAAUGGCCUGGGUUGGAAGAGACCUCAAGGAUCAUGAAUCUCCAACCCCCCUGCCAGGCAGGGCCACCAACCUCCCCAUUUACUUGACCAGGUUGCCCAGGGCCUUAUCCAACUUGGUCUUGAACACCUUCAGGGACGGGGCAUCCACAACCUCUCUGGGCAGCCCAUUCCAGCACCUCACCACUCUCCUGGUAAAGAACUUCCCCCUGACAUCCAACCUAAAUCUUCCCUCUUUCAACUUAAAACCGUUCCCCCUUGUCCUGCUGUUAUCUACCCUUUCAAAGAGUUUACUCCCUUCCUGCUUCAUACGCUACAGCCCUUGGAGUUCUACUGUUCAGUCACUUCAGCCACUAGUAUAACACAAAACCCUUCAUCUCACAGUUGGACAACUUGUCCAGAAGGAUAUAACCCUCCUCUUAUGAAUUGUCCAGUCUUUUCACAGGGAUUGUUUGCACAAGCACCUUUUCCAUUUUUCAUGACUUCAGAUUAUUUUUAAGUUGUAGAGGAAUCCUUCAGCAGCAAGUUGGAAAGCAGUGAUAAGAAAGGCUGCAGUGAUCUGUAAUCAUGAAUCAACACAGUUGACAAUGUGUACAGUUAGCUGAUUCUAUUAUUCUCUUGUUAAAAUGAAAAUGAACAUUGUAGAUGCUCUUUUGAGAUUCAAAGAUUGAUUGAAAUAAAAAUGUAAAGGAAAAUGUCUUGUUGAAAUAAAUAAAAUAAUGAUUUC
Molecule: long non-coding RNA, 1807 nt
Organism: Gallus gallus (chicken)
Lineage: Eukaryota; Metazoa; Chordata; Aves; Galliformes; Phasianidae
Source: Ensembl